CCUACGUGUGGCUGCAGUGGGGAAUAUUGGACAAUGGGCGAAAGCCUGAUCCAGCCAUGCCGCGUGUGUGAAGAAGGCCUUCGGGUUGUAAAGCACUUUCAGUGGGGAAGAAAGCCUUGGGGCUAAUACCCUCGAGGAAGGACAUCACCCACAGAAGAAGCACCGGCUAACUCCGUGCCAGCAGCCGCGGUAAUACGGAGGGUGCGAGCGUUAAUCGGAAUUACUGGGCGGAAAGCGCGCGUAGGCGGUCUGAUAAGCCGGUUGUGAAAGCCCCGGGCUCAACCUGGGAACGGCAUCCGGAACUGUCAGGCUAGAGUGCAGGAGAGGAAGGUAGAAUUCCCGGUGUAGCGGUGAAAUGCGUAGAGAUCGGGAGGAAUAACAGUGGCGAAGGCGGCCUUCUGGACUGACACUGACGCUGAGGUGCGAAAGCGUGGGUAGCAAACAGGAUUAGAUACCCCAGUAGUC
Molecule: ribosomal RNA, 465 nt
Filed under: Vreelandella stevensii
Lineage: Bacteria; Pseudomonadati; Pseudomonadota; Gammaproteobacteria; Oceanospirillales; Halomonadaceae
Description: partial 16S ribosomal RNA
Rfam family: Bacterial small subunit ribosomal RNA
Source: RNAcentral